Pelobates cultripes (western spadefoot toad) is the source of this 253-nucleotide non-coding RNA. NCBI's taxonomy places the organism in Eukaryota, Metazoa, Chordata, Amphibia, Anura, Pelobatidae. The record is from the annotation of a GenBank genome assembly.
UACCUUACUGGCAUCCAACACCAUAUGCUCAUCCAACAACCUAACAGUACUGCUUUUCUAACCUCAUACCAAAUUAAAACAUUACUUAAAGGCAUUAAAAAACUAGACACACAUGUUCCCUCACAAAGACAACAACAUCUUCCACUCUCUAUCCAACCUAUUAGAUUCAUCUCCUUUCGAACCCUUGACAAAUAGCACUAUCAAAACAGCACUAUAUCUUGCUUUCUACGGGUUCCUACAGCCUAGCGAAUUC